ACAGUAUGCUCUGGUGUAGAUGUCCUGGAGGGAGGGAAGCUCACCUCCAACAAUGUGGCUGGCAGUUCGCACGACCCUUUUCAGAGCUUUGCGGUUGCCAGCGGUGCUGUUUCCAAACCAGGCAGUGAUGCAGCCCGUCAGGAUGCUCUCUAUAGUGCAGGUGUAGAACGAUCUGAGGAUGCUGGGGCUCAUUCCAAACUUCCUCAGCCGUCUCAGGAAGAAGAGGCGUUGAUGUGCCUUCUUCAGCACUGCAUCAGUGUGUGUAGACCAGGUGAGAUCCUCACUGAUGUUAACACCGAGGAACUUGAAGCUGCUUACCCGCUCCACAGGUGUCUUGUCGAUGGUGAUGGGUGUGUGUUCUCUGCUCUAUCUCCUGAAACCCACCACCAGCUCCUUGGUCUUGUCGAUGUUGAGUGAGAGGUGGUUCUCCUGACACCAUUUAGUCAGGGUGCUCUUCUCCUCUCUGUAGGCCGUCUCAUCGUUGUCGGUGAUCAGGCCUAUCACCGUUGUGUCAUCAGCGAAUUUGAUGAUGACGUUGGAGCUGUGUGUGGCUGUACAGUCAUGUGUGUACAGGGAGUACAGGAGCGGGCUGAGGACACAGCCCUGAGGAGCACCAGUGUUGAGGGUCAGCGGGGAUGAAGUGUUGUUGCCCAUUCUGACCACCUGACUUCUGCCUGUCAGGAAGUCCAGGAUCCAGCUGAGAGAGAGUCUUUCAAAACUCUUGCGGCAUGCGCAACACCGACCUCAAACGUCAUCCGCCCGGAGCUGUUUCUGUGUACAACUGUUGGCGCAAGCUACAUUAAAGUGAUUAUUAUGUUUUGAAUAUGGAUAUUUUUCUUACAAAAACGCAUCAGCUGACUACAGGAGGCAAUUGUUCACCCCCCGGAGCCGUGUGAGACACUUUUUUUUAUGGAUGGAUGCUUUUUAUUUCACUUCUUUUGGAGUGAUGCAUGCAACAGCCGCUGAAUGCCAUGAAACAGCUUGAAAGAUCAAAGAUAACUCCGACUGGAUUCAUCUGAAAGAAGAAAGUCAUAUACACCUAGGUUGACUUGAGGGUGAGUAAUUUAUGAGCUAAUUUUCAUUUUUGGGUGAACUAACCCUUUAAGUUCCAGAUAUGGUCAUACCAUAAAAUAUUUUUAGUAAGACUGACCUUGUAUUUAAUGUGAAUUUAAUAAAAACAUUGUAAGUUAGUAAUUAGCCUGUAACACUUUCAUUGUACAAAAAGAGAGCAAAGAAUGUUUACAUUAUCAAAUAACAUUUUCACUUCAGUCUAGCGAGUUCUAGCACUCUCAAAAACUCCAAUAAUAACUUCUAAAGCUGUUUACUCACUGAAAUUAAUAUCUUACUUACAUUCGUACAUCUUUACAUUGUUGUUUCUGAUGAGAGAAUUAGCCAGAUAAUUCAGCCAGCCAGCGUGCGCGGUGACGAAACAGUGUGUUUCAGCGGUGACUCAUCUGAACGCCUCUGAUUGGCCCUUGCAUUCGUAAGCUCAACAGAAGCAUAUGUGAUUGGUUAUAAUGUGCAGCGCUAUAAAAACUUGUGUGUCUCUGGCUCUGUGCCAGCCAGUGAACACAGAUUUGAAUUUAGCAGCUAGUGAUGUAUGUAUAUAUAUAUAUAUAUAUAUAUAUAUAUAUACAUAGUUUAAAGGUCAAACUGCACAUUUCACCCAAAAUAGUUUGGUGUGAUAUGAUUCCAUUUUUUAUUUCUUUUUGGUGGGGGUGGGUGGGGGCAAUCCUUUGUCAGGCUUGUUGACAGGGGGACACUGCUUCUAUGGACAUCUCAUUGCAUCAGAAUGUUCAUCUGUGAUGCAUUGUGGGAUAGAGUGACGAGAUCAUCUGGAUGGGCAGAAAUCAGUCUGCUGAAUUCUCUUAUCUGUCCCUCAGCUGACCUUCCUGUCUCCCCUUCCCUCGUCCUGUCAGUCCAGCCGUGGCUCUGACAGUCCAUCUAAAACACCAGGAGCUCAUCUGCAUCAAACACACACACACCAUUCACACAUACAUACAUAAAUGCAGAUACACACGCAUGUGCAGGGGUCCUUCAUGAAAUAGAGCUCAGGUUGCUUCAGAUGGGCUUGACAUUGAGUGCUGGAGACGCUGCAUUCACUCACACACACACACACACACACACACACACACACACACACACACACACACACACACACACACACACACACACACACAUACAUACAGCAGUUGAAGCAUCUCAGAUCAAGCAAUAAGCCAAGAGGACUAUAGGUUUAGUAUACUUACAGUGUGUAAUUUCUGAAAAAAACUAAACAAAAAAAAAAACAAUUCUCAGCUUGUUCUAUCUAUUGAAAUAUCUUGUUCAGGUCAGUACAUCCAUGCAUUUUUUAUGGUGGAUAUUUUUUAUUAUCAACAAAGUUUUGACCACAACUUCUAUUUGACAUGAAGUCCAUUUCUUUACAUUUAUACCCUUUUCCCAUUUAAAAGCCCAUUUUUACAUUUAUGCAUUUAGCAGAUGCUUUUAUCCAAAGCUUAUUACAGUGCAUUCAGGCUUUUUUUUUUUUUUUUUAUGAAUCGAACCCACAACCUUUGCGCUGCUAACGCAAUGCUCUACCACUGAGCCACAGAAACACCAUUUUAAUAUAUCAUUUUAAAAAUGUUUACAUUUUUUUAUACCAUUUUCAGGUCCUUUUUUAAGGUACCAUUGUACCUUUUUUAAAGUCCAUUUUUUAUAUUAUGAUACGA
Long non-coding RNA from Cyprinus carpio carpio, 2708 nucleotides. The record is from Ensembl. NCBI's taxonomy places the organism in Eukaryota, Metazoa, Chordata, Actinopteri, Cypriniformes, Cyprinidae.